UACGUAGGUGGCAAGCGUUGUCCGGAUUUACUGGGCGUAAAGAGCGCGCAGGCGGUCGUUCAAGUCGCGUGUGAAAGCCCCCGGCUCAACUGGGGAGGGUCACGCGAUACUGAUCGACUCGAAGGCAGGAGAGGGUAGUGGAAUUCCCGGUGUAGUGGUGAAAUGCGUAGAUAUCGGGAGGAACACCCGUGGCGAAGGCGGGAUCCUGGGCCAGUACUGACGCUGAGGAGCGAAAGCGUGGGGAGCAAACAGG
This 253-nucleotide ribosomal RNA is filed under the name uncultured bacterium. Its description in RNAcentral is "partial 16S ribosomal RNA". It matches the Rfam family "Bacterial small subunit ribosomal RNA", at positions 524 to 776 of the family's 1533-position model. The record is from RNAcentral.